GAUGAUGCCCGCACGGACGCCGUGGACAGCGUAGUUCGGGAUAUCCAGAACACUCAGUGCCUGCUCAACGUGGAACACCUGAGUGCCGGCUGCCCCCAUGUCACCUUGCAGUUUGCAGAUUCCAAGGGCGAUGUGGGGCUGGGCUUGGUGAAGGAAGGGCUGGUCAUGGUGGAGGUGCGCAAGGAGAAACAGUUCCAGAAAGUGGUACGUGAUGUGGAGAGGCGGCCCCAGCAUUGCGCCACCACCCUCACAGAGAAAGGGACUGUUCCACAAGCCAGGAAGGGAGCAGGGAAUCCACCAUCCUGCUGUUCCUGCUGGGGAAAGAUAAUGGAUUUGGAUCACAGAAUACCUGAAUGCCCAAGAGUCAGCCAAGAGCGCCAGGCUGAACCUGUGGCGCUAUGGAGACUUUCGAGCUGAUGAUGCAGACGAAUUUGGCUACAGCCGCUAAGGAGGGGAUCGGGUUUGGCCCCCAGCCCCGCUCACGCCAGUCCCUCUUCCUCUGCCGGGAGGGUGUUUUCAACUCCAAACCCCAGAGAGGGGUUGUAGAUUGGGUCCAGCUUUGCUUCAGUGUGUGGAAAUGUCUCAUGGGGUGGCAUC
RNAcentral lists this small RNA (597 nucleotides) under Pan troglodytes (chimpanzee). RNAcentral describes it as "processed transcript". Lineage: Eukaryota; Metazoa; Chordata; Mammalia; Primates; Hominidae. The record is from RNAcentral.